UCUAUUGACGCAUAUGUUGCAGCAGUCCGCGUGAUUGUGAUUCUCGUGUCGUUGAUAGCUUGGAGCAGUCGGUUCCGGUCCAUCUACUACUCGUGACCGGGAAUGAAGGAUCAUGUCGCUGAUAGUUCAGGUAUAAAAUGUAUCUUCUCAUAUAGCAUUAUUUCUAGCGGCAAGUGUAUUUUGGUCUACAAUAUAUCAGCUUCCUAGUAAGGCCUUACUGCAAAAAGAUAAUACCAACUACAAUGCUGCAGUCCUACAGUUUUAUUCAUCAAACUUUGUUUCUAUGGUUACUAUUUUUAUUAUUUCAACAACUGGUAGUGAAGUUAAGGCGAGCAUUGGAACAUUUUGAUAGCUUAGUCUUUUUGGAUGGUCCUCUAUCUGUAUAGCAUUACAAGCAACAAACACUGAGCCUUAUUCACCUUCUUAAUCAAUAUACUUGGAGUCCACAUCCAAGAUCAAAGCAUGUAGCUCUGUUCACUCAGGUUCUCAGGAGUAUCUCACAAAUGAGUCCAUCUUAGGUGAGAGAUGACUCAUCCAGCCAUACGAUAUUAUUGACCAUUUAGUAGCAGUUGACCAACAGUUUUGGUAAUUAGAGAAGAAGACAAUUCCACAGAAUCAAAGUUCAGUGCAUUCGUACGGUAAAUUAGCAGGCAAGCUACCUGUACUAAAUACAGGUGGUGCUACCUGUACUAAAUUUUGCUCUGUCAGAUUUUUAUAUAUUUUUAUUAUUACCAAGUAUAUGAGUUUGCUGUAUCAGGUUGUCUCAACGUAUUGCAGUUACACGUUAAUGUGAUAAUCAAUUGCAUGUUUGUGACUUCUCUAUGCAGAAUGAAGAACAGAGGCCUGUAAGUGUGGUGGUAUGGACUCUUUCUAGAGACAUACUUCACUGCUUAUUAAGUUGUGGGUUGUUUUUUUGACAGAUAUUUUCUCACUUUUUUCCAAUGUUAAACAACAACUUAGUCUCCAGUUAUUGUACUUGUGGUACAUAAGUGUUGUUUCAUUCCUUCUUCAGCUUGAUUAUUGUUUUUAUUCACCUUGAGAAGCAUAAGUAUGAUUCCUGCUUUUAAACAGGAUUCCAAGAUCAAAUUAUCUGGGCUGGGGCAAGAAAAGGAACAUGCUCCGGUCUCCGGCAAUCUAAUAGAUUCAUAGGGAACACAUGGACAUGAAGCUAUGGCGGCGACGAAGGUGAUAUCGACAUGGGGCUGCGGCGACGAUGAUUACGACAACAUCGACAUCAACACAGGGCUACGGUGGCGACCAAGACGACGACAUCGUCAUGGUGCUGCGGCGGCGACGACGACGACGACAUCAACACGAGCUUGUGGAAGCUCCGAUGCCGACGACGUAGACGCGUGGCAUAUAUUGUGUGUGUGUGUGUGUGCCCACGUGCGUGCGUGUGUUAAUUAUCUACAUCAGAUAUGUAUGAUUGAUGAUUGAAUGUAUACAUAACAUGUACGUAUUGUGAAAUGCAUGUCUAGACUGAAAUAGGUAGACUUUUAUUUUUUUAAAUCCUAAUUUGUUACUACUAGCGUGGGUGUAUCAUAGAAGCGCUACUGCUAUUCC
RNA transcript from Triticum dicoccoides, 1563 nucleotides. RefSeq lists it as uncharacterized. NCBI's taxonomy places the organism in Eukaryota, Viridiplantae, Streptophyta, Magnoliopsida, Poales, Poaceae. The record is from RefSeq and is a predicted model, not a curated record. The transcript is spliced from 2 exons.